This 250-nucleotide ribosomal RNA is filed under the name uncultured bacterium. Its description in RNAcentral is "partial 16S ribosomal RNA". It matches the Rfam family "Bacterial small subunit ribosomal RNA", at positions 524 to 773 of the family's 1533-position model. The record is from RNAcentral.
UACGAAGGGAGCGAGCGUUGUCCGGAAUUACUGGGCGUAAAGAGCACGUAGGCGGCUAUAUUAGUUGGGUGUGAAAUCCCAGGGCUUAACCCUGGAACUGCAUCCAAUACUGUAUAGCUAGAGACCGAGAGAGGAAAAUGGAAUUACGAGUGUAGAGGUGAAAUUCGUAGAUAUUCGUAGGAACACCAGAGGCGAAAGCGAUUUUCUGGCUCGGUACUGACGCUCAGGUGCGAAAGCGUGGGGAGCAAAC